UGUCUCGUUAGCUCAGUUGGUAGAGCAUCUGACUCUUAAUCAGGCGGCCGUAGGUUCGAAUCCUACACGGGACACCAC
This 78-nucleotide transfer RNA is filed under the name Campylobacter gracilis RM3268. RNAcentral describes it as "tRNA-Lys". It matches the Rfam family "tRNA". Rfam says of the family: Transfer RNA (tRNA) molecules are approximately 80 nucleotides in length. Their secondary structure includes four short double-helical elements and three loops (D, anti-codon, and T loops). The record is from RNAcentral. Lineage: Bacteria; Pseudomonadati; Campylobacterota; Epsilonproteobacteria; Campylobacterales; Campylobacteraceae.